UAUGAACGCUGGCGGCAUGCCUUACACAUGCAAGUCGAACGGCAGCACGGGGGCAACCCUGGUGGCGAGUGGCGAACGGGUGAGUAAUAUAUCGGAACGUACCCUAGAGUGGGGGAUAACGUAGCGAAAGUUACGCUAAUACCGCAUACGAUCUACGGAUGAAAGCAGGGGACCGCAAGGCCUUGCGCUCAUGGAGCGGCCGAUAUCUGAUUAGCUAGUUGGUAGGGUAAAAGCCUACCAAGGCAUCGAUCAGUAGCUGGUCUGAGAGGACGACCAGCCACACUGGGACUGAGACACGGCCCAGACUCCUACGGGAGGCAGCAGUGGGGAAUUUUGGACAAUGGGGGCAACCCUGAUCCAGCAAUGCCGCGUGAGUGAAGAAGGCCUUCGGGUUGUAAAGCUCUUUUGUCAGGGAAGAAACGGCAUCCUCUAAUACAGGGUGCUAAUGACGGUACCUGAAGAAUAAGCACCGGCUAACUACGUGCCAGCAGCCGCGGUAAUACGUAGGGUGCAAGCGUUAAUCGGAAUUACUGGGCGUAAAGCGUGCGCAGGCGGUUAUGUAAGACAGAUGUGAAAUGCCCGGGCUCAACCUGGGAACUGCAUUUGUGACUGCAUGGCUAGAGUUUGGCAGAGGGGGGUAGAAUUCCACGUGUAGCAGUGAAAUGCGUAGAUAUGUGGAGGAAUACCGAUGGCGAAGGCAGCCCCCUGGGUCAAGACUGACGCUCAUGCACGAAAGCGUGGGGGGCAAACAGGAUUAGAUACCCUGGUAGUCCACGCCCUAAACGAUGUCUACUAGUUGUCGGGUCUUAAUUGACUUGGUAACGCAGCUAACGCGUGAAGUAGACCGCCUGGGGAGUACGGUCGCAAGAUUAAAACUCAAAGGAAUUGACGGGGACCCGCACAAGCGGUGGAUGAUGUGGAUUAAUUCGAUGCAACGCGAAAAACCUUACCUACCCUUGACAUGUACGGAAGACUUCAGAGAUGAGGUUGUGCUCGCAAGAGAACCGUAACACAGGUGCUGCAUGGCUGUCGUCAGCUCGUGUCGUGAGAUGUUGGGUUAAGUCCCGCAACGAGCGCAACCCUUGUCAUUAGUUGCUACGAAAGGGCACUCUAAUGAGACUGCCGGUGACAAACCGGAGGAAGGUGGGGAUGACGUCAAGUCCUCAUGGCCCUUAUGGGUAGGGCUUCACACGUCAUACAGUGGUACAUACAGAGGGCCGCCAACCCGCGAGGGGGAGCUAAUCCCAGAAAGUGUAUCGUAGUCCGGAUUGUAGUCUGCAACUCGACUACAUGAGGUUGGAAUCGCUAGUAAUCGCGGAUCAGCAUGUCGCGGUGAAUACGUUCCCGGGCCUUGUACACACCGCCCGUCACACCAUGGGAGCGGGUUUUACCAGAAGUAGGUAGCUUAACCCGAGGGUAACCGAGGGAGGGCGCUUACCACGGUAGGAUUCGUGACUGGGGUGAAGUCGUAACAAGGUAGCCGUUACGGAAGG
Molecule: ribosomal RNA, 1493 nt
Filed under: uncultured bacterium
Lineage: Bacteria
Description: bacterial SSU rRNA
Rfam family: Bacterial small subunit ribosomal RNA
Source: RNAcentral